GACGAACGCUGGCGGCGUGCUUAACACAUGCAAGUCGAACGGAAAGGCCCUUCGGGGUACUCGAGUGGCGAACGGGUGAGUAACACGUGGGUGAUCUGCCCUGCACUUUGGGAUAAGCCUGGGAAACUGGGUCUAAUACCGAAUAGGACCACGCGCUUCAUGGUGUGUGGUGGAAAGCUUUUGCGGUGUGGGAUGGGCCCGCGGCCUAUCAGCUUGUUGGUGGGGAAUGGCCUACCAAGGCGACGACGGGUAGCCGGCCUGAGAGGGUGACCGGCCACACUGGGACUGAGAUACGGCCCAGACUCCUACGGGAGGCAGCAGUGGGGAAUAUUGCACAAUGGGCGCAAGCCUGAUGCAGCGACGCCGCGUGAGGGAUGACGGCCUUCGGGUUGUAAACCUCUUUCAAUAGGGACGAAGCGCAAGUGACGGUACCUAUAGAAGAAGCACCGGCCAACUACGUG
Molecule: ribosomal RNA, 461 nt
Filed under: uncultured bacterium
Lineage: Bacteria
Description: partial 16S ribosomal RNA
Rfam family: Bacterial small subunit ribosomal RNA
Source: RNAcentral